RNAcentral lists this ribosomal RNA (492 nucleotides) under uncultured bacterium. RNAcentral describes it as "partial 16S ribosomal RNA". It matches the Rfam family "Bacterial small subunit ribosomal RNA", at positions 29 to 507 of the family's 1533-position model. The record is from RNAcentral.
AGUGAACGCUGGCGGUAGGCCUAACACAUGCGAGUCGAACGGCAGCACAGUAAGAGCUUGCUCUUACGGGUGGCGAGUGGCGGACGGGUGAGGAAUACAUCGGAAUCUACUUUUUCGUGGGGGAUAACGUAGGGAAACUUACGCUAAUACCGCAUACGACCUACGGGUGAAAGCAGGGGAUCUUCGGACCUUGCGCGAUUGAAUGAGCCGAUGUCGGAUUAGCUAGUUGGCGGGGUAAAGGCCCACCAAGGCGACGAUCCGUAGCUGGUCUGAGAUGAUGAUCAGCCACACUGGAACUGAGACACGGUCCAGACUCCUACGGGAGGCAGCAGUGGGGAAUAUUGGACAAUGGGCGCAAGCCUGAUCCAGCCAUACCGCGUGGGUGAAGAAGGCCUUCGGGUUGUAAAGCCCUUUUGUUGGGAAAGAAAAGCAGCAGGUUAAUACCCCGCUGUUCUGACGGUACCCAAAGAAUAAGCACCGGCUAACUUCGUG